CGAUAACGAACGAGACCUUAACCUGCUAAAUAGCCCGGCCCGCUUUGGCGGGUCGCCGGCUUCUUAGAGGGACAUUCGGCUCAAGCCGACGGAAGUCUGAGGCAAUAACAGGUCCGUAAUGCCCUUAGAUGUUCUGGGCCGCACGCGCGCUACACUGAUGGAGCCAACGAGUUUCUUUCCUUGCCCGAAAGGGUUGGGUAAUCUUGUUAAACUCCAUCGUGCUGGGGAUCGAGCAUUGCAAUUAUUGCUCGUCAACGAGGAAUGCCUAGUAAGCGCUUAUCAUCAGUAAGCGUUGAUUACGUCCCUGCCCUUUGUACACACCGCCCGUCGCUACUACCGAUUGAAUGGCU
Molecule: ribosomal RNA, 350 nt
Filed under: uncultured fungus
Lineage: Eukaryota; Fungi
Description: SSU rRNA
Rfam family: Eukaryotic small subunit ribosomal RNA
Source: RNAcentral